Molecule: ribosomal RNA, 254 nt
Filed under: uncultured bacterium
Lineage: Bacteria
Description: partial 16S ribosomal RNA
Rfam family: Bacterial small subunit ribosomal RNA
Source: RNAcentral
GACGGAGGAUGCAAGUGUUAUCCGGAAUCACUGGGCGUAAAGCGUCUGUAGGUGGUCAAAUAAGUCAACUGUUAAAUCUUGAGGCUCAACCUCAAAAUCGCAGUCGAAACUAUUCGACUAGAGUAUAGUAGGGGUAAAGGGAAUUUCCAGUGGAGCGGUGAAAUGCGUAGAGAUCGGAAAGAACACCAACGGCGAAAGCACUCUGCUGGGCCGACACUGACACUGAGAGACGAAAGCUAGGGGGAGCGAAUGGG